Molecule: non-coding RNA, 169 nt
Filed under: human gut metagenome
Also listed under: 1 other name
Description: Lysine riboswitch
Rfam family: Lysine riboswitch aptamer
About the family: Riboswitches are metabolite binding domains within certain messenger RNAs that serve as precision sensors for their corresponding targets. Allosteric rearrangement of mRNA structure is mediated by ligand binding, and this results in modulation of gene expression. This family includes riboswitches that sense lysine in a number of genes involved in lysine metabolism, including lysC.
Source: RNAcentral
CACAUAGAGGCGCGAAUUUUAUAAGUAAGCGAGAGGUAAAACGGAAAUAUCUCGCCCAAAGGAAAAUUCGCCGAAACGCUUUUUGCUCCGUCCGUUCGGACAAAAGGGUUGGGCUGCAGGGUAAUACGUUGCAGACUGUCGCAGGGAAACUUGCGGAGAGCUAUCGGGU